UGUUUGCAUUUGGAUAGUCUGACCUGUCCAAGUUCAACUUUUUAUCAUCUGUAAUUCUUAACACUCCUUUAACCUCCUCACCUUAUUAUCUCUAAUAUUUCAAUCAUCCACGAACGAUUUCGUAACCCUGCGAAGAGUCUCUUCAUGCUUAGAUCCUUGUUUUGAACCUUUCUGUUUAGAUUAUAGGUUCGAAAGUAAAAUAACUUCCACCAUGAAUGUUUGUAUAAACUUGUUUUGAAAAUAUUUUAAUAUGGAGUUUUAAAUCAAGAUUUAAGCAACGAUUUAAAAGCAUACAUGUUAACUUUAUAAUGGAUUCCAGCUUUUCCCAAAUCGUUUGCGAUCCUCAGAUUCAACAAAAACGCCACGCCGCUUUUCAAGAAAAACGUGCCCGUUUUGAGCUCUUGUCCUCUCAUUUGUUUUCAACAUUGUCUCACACCUCUGUGGGACAAAACAAGCGAAAACAAGUAGCUGGUCACCUGAAGACGUGGAUUGAAAAGGCGUCGUGGUCGCAAUGUGACACAUGUAUUUGCUUGUCUCCUCAAAUUCUUAAACCAAGCUUUGCGAAACGAAUUGUUGCAACCAGGCCUACUUGCAAUUACUGCCCGAACGCUGCUCCAAAAUUAUCUGCAUGGCCAGGUUUUAAGUGGUGCUUGACUGAGUGAGUGCUUGACAGGUUUUAACAAAAAGGAACACAAGAUUUUGUCACCAUUUACCAUCGACUGUGGCCCCUAUUCCAAGAAAAAACACGGGUACCGUGUCAAAACAGGGGGAUUCCGGAUUAUUGUAAAGUCGGCAGGAGUUUCACAAUCCAUUUCGAGUCUUCCGGAUAAUCCCUUAAAGCUACGACUGCAAAUGGCAUACGAGCAUCUCUACACCUGCGCACAUAGUUCCUACAAAAAGUACGUUGACCAUGCCAACACUUUGGAAAGCGAAACCCGUAUUCAAUUCUUUGAUCUGUUUCACAUGCACAGGGAAUUGA
This is a non-coding RNA of Ciona intestinalis (vase tunicate), 979 nucleotides long. The record is from RefSeq and is a predicted model, not a curated record. NCBI's taxonomy places the organism in Eukaryota, Metazoa, Chordata, Ascidiacea, Phlebobranchia, Cionidae.